CCUACGGGAGGCAGCAGUGGGGAAUAUUGGGCAAUGGGCGCAAGCCUGACCCAGCAACGCCGCGUGAAUGAAGAAGGCUUUCGGGUUGUAAACUUCUUUUAAGAGGGAAGAGCAGAAGAAGGUAACUCUUGAAUAAGCCACGGCUAACUACGUUGCAGCAGCCGCGGGAAUACGUAGGUGGGCAGCGUUGUCCGGAAUUACUGGGGGUAAAGGGCGUGCAGGCGGGAAGACAAGUCAGAUGUGAAAUCCCGCGGCUCAACCGCGGAACUGCAUUUGAAACUGUUUUACUUGAGUGCCGGAGAGGUAAUCGGAAUUCCUUGUGUAGCGGUGAAAUGCGUAGAUAUAAGGAAGAACACCAGUGGCGAAGGCGGAUUACUGGACUGCAACUGACGGUGAGGCGCGAAAGCGUGGGGAGCAAACAGGAUUAGAUACCCCUGUAGUC
This 442-nucleotide ribosomal RNA is filed under the name uncultured bacterium. Its description in RNAcentral is "partial 16S ribosomal RNA". It matches the Rfam family "Bacterial small subunit ribosomal RNA", at positions 338 to 795 of the family's 1533-position model. The record is from RNAcentral.